CGAACGCUGGCGGCGUGCUUAACACAUGCAAGUCGAACGCGAAAGGGACUUCGGUCCUGAGUAAAGUAGGCGCACGGGUGAGUAACGCGUAGAUAACCUGUCUUCAUGUCUGGAAUAAUACGCCGAAAGGGGUACUAAUACCGGAUAUUCUUGCUUUUCAUAAGUUAUGCAAGCAAAGGUGGCCUCUGCAUAUGCUACUGCAUGAAGAGGGGUCUGCGUACCAUUAGCUAGUAGGUGGGGUAAUGGCCUACCUAGGCGACGAUGGUUAGCGGGUCUGAGAGGAUGAUCCGCCACACUGGCACUGGAACACGGGCCAGACUCCUACGGGAGGCAGCAGUGAGGAAUAUUGCGCAAUGGGGGAAACCCUGACGCAGCGACGCCGCGUGAGUGAGGAAGGCCUUCGGGUCGUAAAGCUCUGUCAAGAGGAAAGAAGUGUACAAUGGCUAAUACCUGUUGUAUUUGACGGUACCUCUAAAGGAAGCACCGGCUAACUCCGUGCCAGCCGCCGC
Molecule: ribosomal RNA, 509 nt
Filed under: uncultured bacterium
Lineage: Bacteria
Description: bacterial SSU rRNA
Rfam family: Bacterial small subunit ribosomal RNA
Source: RNAcentral